This 406-nucleotide ribosomal RNA is filed under the name uncultured bacterium. RNAcentral's name for it is "partial 16S ribosomal RNA". It matches the Rfam family "Bacterial small subunit ribosomal RNA", at positions 30 to 526 of the family's 1533-position model. The record is from RNAcentral.
AUUGAACGCUGGCGGCAGGCCUAACACAUGCAAGUCGAACGAGUGGCGGACGGGUGAGUAAUGUCUGGGAAACUGCCCGAUGGAGGGGGAUAACUACUGGAAACGGUAGCUAAUACCGCAUACCAUCGGAUGUGCCCAGAUGGGAUUAGCUAGUAGGUGGGGUAACGGCUCACCUAGGCGACGAUCCCUAGCUGGUCUGAGAGGAUGACCAGCAACACUGGAACUGAGACACGGUCCAGACUCCUACGGGAGGCAGCAGUGGGGAAUAUUGCACAAUGGGCGCAAGCCUGAUCCAGCCAUGCCGCGUGGAUGAAGAAGGUCUUCGGAUUGUAAAGCACUUUCAGCUAGGAGGCGUUACUAGCAGAAUAAGCACCGGCUAACUUCGUGCCAGCAGCCGCGGUAAUAC